UUGACGAAUUAAAUAUUAGUGGCGUUUAUUCUCAAAACGCCGUAAAUGUUGUAAAAUUAGUGGCGUUUGAUUGUAAGCGCCGUAAAAGUUGGAAUCGACAACGGUGUCGUUUUAAACAUAUUUUAGUUUUCAACUAAAUCCCCGCCCCCAGCACCAAAUCCCCAAUCUGUCGAAAUCCCUAAUCCUUUUUUCUAUCUGCGAUUUCUUACAUGCGAUUCUUCAAUUGAAAAGCUUCGGUGUUCCGUUGUUCGGUUUCUUGCAAAUUUAUAAGGAUUAUUUACCUUCAUUGUUUCGGAUUCUUGCUAACUCACAUAACCCAGUCAAAGAAGACGGAGAAGGUGGGCAGACAUUCGGAUUCUGUCGUCGGGGGAAACAGUAUUUAAGGGUUUUCAAUCGUUUCAUUUUUCUUCAUCGUUGCGAAGGGAUUGAUGGCCAUAUCAAUGUAAUAGGCAAAAGAAUCUUGAGGAGACCUCUUUUUUGUUUGUUUGAAGUUGUCAUGAAUAUUUAAUAUGAUAGAAGAAUAAGUAUAAUGUGAUCUUACCAUAUUUGAUCUCCAUUUGAAUUCUCAUGUGUUCGGUUUUCUUUGUUGAAAAUCAAUUAACUUCGAUUGGUAACAGUUCUUUUAGCUUAGAAAGGAUUAUGAACAUAGAAUUUUCCAUUUAUCAUGUUUUUUUCUGCAGCAGCUUCGUGCAAAAAACGCAAUCAUAUAAUUAAUUGAAAAGAACUAUGAGUUUUUUAAAAACAUAGGACUAUGACUUUUGAUUUUUUAUUUCACAUAUGAAAAGAACUAAUGUUAUAAACAAUGGGGUAAUUUUUUUGACAUUUUUGAAGGUUUUUAUUUCACCAAUUCGGGGUUAUAAAUAAUUAAUUUA
This is a long non-coding RNA of Gossypium raimondii (Peruvian cotton), 872 nucleotides long. RefSeq lists it as uncharacterized. Lineage: Eukaryota; Viridiplantae; Streptophyta; Magnoliopsida; Malvales; Malvaceae. The transcript has 3 exons. The record is from RefSeq and is a predicted model, not a curated record.